CCUGUGGAAUAAUACAUUGGGGACUAUUAAUUGCAUCAGACUAUUUGAAAAUAACAUCUCAGUGUGAAAUAAAAUCUUCAGUUCAUACCUAACAAUUGAAGCUUCGCUAGAGGGACUAGAUCAGCAAUGUCCUCUUCAGGAAGAAGAUCCUCCUCACUCCACUUGUCUGUACGGCGCGUGUCUAUG
Syngnathus acus (greater pipefish) is the source of this 186-nucleotide long non-coding RNA. RefSeq lists it as uncharacterized. The record is from RefSeq and is a predicted model, not a curated record. The transcript has 3 exons. Lineage: Eukaryota; Metazoa; Chordata; Actinopteri; Syngnathiformes; Syngnathidae.